Molecule: non-coding RNA, 187 nt
Organism: Caenorhabditis elegans
Lineage: Eukaryota; Metazoa; Nematoda; Chromadorea; Rhabditida; Rhabditidae
Gene: F15B9.15
Product: ncRNA
Source: Ensembl
CAAACAUUGCAACUAACCAUACAUGCUCUACUACUCCCUGUCACUGCUUUUGCAAUCAAAUAUUUUCGUUUUCCAAUUCUUCGAACACUCAAAUUAACCAUCAUCUGACGAACUGAGUCACUAUAUUUCGCUGCUGAAAUAUACUUUAAUGUCAUCAUUGCAUUAAUAAAUAAUAUUUACUUUUAUU